GCCUUCGUGGUGUAGUUGUCAGCACGCUCGCCACGUAUUCGAAAGGUCCGUGGUUCGAGUCCCGGCGAGGGCA
This is a non-coding RNA of Stegodyphus mimosarum, 73 nucleotides long. The record is from Rfam. Lineage: Eukaryota; Metazoa; Arthropoda; Arachnida; Araneae; Eresidae.